AGGGUUUGAUCAUGGCUCAGAACGUACGCUGGCGGCACGCCUUAUACAUGCAAGUCGAACGAAGUAGCAAUACUUAGUGGCAGACGGGUGAGUAACAUGUGGGUAUCUUCCCUUUGGCCUGGAAUAACACGAGGAAACUUGUGCUAAUACCGGAUAAGUCUUUACGGAGAAAGCUUUAUGCACCAUUGGAUGAGCCCGCACUUGAUUAGUUUGUUGGUGGGGUAAUGGCCUACCAAGACAAUGAUCAAUAGCUGAUUUGAGAGGAUGAUCAGCCACAUUGGAACUGAGACACGGUCCAAACUCCUACGGGAGGCAGCAGUAGGGAAUCUUGCACAAUGGAGGAAACUCUGAUGCAGCGAUGCCGCGUGAGUGAAGAAGGCCUUUGGGUUGUAAAGCUCUUUCGUCGGGGAAGAAAAUGACUGUACCCGAAUAAGAAGGUCCGGCUAACUUCGUGCCAGCAGCCGCGGUAAUACGAAGGGACCUAGCGUAGUUCGGAAUUACUGGGCUUAAAGAGUUCGUAGGUGGUUAAAAAAGUUGGUGGUGAAAUCCCAGAGCUUAACUCUGGAACUGCCAUCAAAACUUUUUAGCUAGAGUAUGAUAGAGGAAAGCAGAAUUUCUAGUGUAGAGGUGAAAUUCGUAGAUAUUAGAAAGAAUACCGAUUGCGAAGGCAGCUUUCUGGA
RNAcentral lists this ribosomal RNA (680 nucleotides) under uncultured bacterium. RNAcentral's name for it is "bacterial SSU rRNA". It matches the Rfam family "Bacterial small subunit ribosomal RNA", at positions 8 to 733 of the family's 1533-position model. The record is from RNAcentral.